AUGGAAGCAGAACUCACAUCACUAGAUACAGCUACGGUCGAAGCAGAUUGGCUUCGCCGGCUCUUGAAUGACUUGCCGGUUGUUGAGAAACCUGUACCGGGUAUCCUUAUGAACUGCGACAAUCAAACUGUGAUCACGAAAGUGAGCAGCUCAAAGGAUAACAUGAAGUCAUCAAGACACGUUCAGAGAAGGUUAAAGUCUAUCAGGAAAAUGAGAAACUCUGGAGUUAUUGCAUUGGACUAUAUCCAAACGUCUAAAAAUCUGGCAUAUCCUUUUACUAAGGGUCUAUCAUGUAAUGUGAUAGAUAAUGCAUCGAGGGAGAUGGGUAUGAGACCCACAAUAUGA
Molecule: ribosomal RNA, 345 nt
Filed under: Triticum aestivum (bread wheat)
Lineage: Eukaryota; Viridiplantae; Streptophyta; Magnoliopsida; Poales; Poaceae
Description: partial small subunit ribosomal RNA
Source: RNAcentral